Molecule: ribosomal RNA, 460 nt
Filed under: uncultured bacterium
Lineage: Bacteria
Description: partial 16S ribosomal RNA
Rfam family: Bacterial small subunit ribosomal RNA
Source: RNAcentral
CCUACGGGUGGCAGCAGUGAGGAAUAUUGGUCAAUGGACGAGAGUCUGAACCAGCCAAGUAGCGUGAAGGAUGACUGCCCUAUGGGUUGUAAACUUCUUUUAUAAAGGAAUAAAACGAGGCACGUGUGCCGUUUUGCAUGUACUUUAUGAAUAAGGAUCGGCUAACUCCGUGUCAGCAGCCGCGGUAAUACGGAGGAUCCGAGCGUUAUCCGGAUUUAUUGGGUUUAAAGGGAGCGUAGAUGGGUUGUUAAGUCAGUGGUGAAAGUUUGCGGCUCAACCGUAAAAUUGCAAUUGAUACUGGCAGUCUUGAGUACAGUUGAGGUAGGCGGAAUUCGUGGUGUAGCGGUGAAAUGCUUAGAUAUCACGAAGAACCCCGAUUGCGAAGGCAGCUUACUAAACUGUGACUGACAUUGAUGCUCGAAAGUGUGGGUAUCAAACAGGAUUAGAUACCCGUGUAGUC